UCUUUUAAUUUUGUGCCAGCCGCCGCGGUAAUACGUAGGUGGCAAGCGUUAUCCGGAAUUAUUGGGCGUAAAGAGGGAGCAGGCGGCAGCAAGGGUCUGUGGUGAAAGCCUGAAGCUUAACUUCAGUAAGCCAUAGAAACCAGGCAGCUAGAGUGCAGGAGAGGAUCGUGGAAUUCCAUGUGUAGCGGUGAAAUGCGUAGAUAUAUGGAGGAACACCAGUGGCGAAGGCGACGAUCUGGCCUGCAACUGACGCUCAGUCCCGAAAGCGUGGGGAGCAAAUAGG
RNAcentral lists this ribosomal RNA (283 nucleotides) under Thomasclavelia ramosa DSM 1402. RNAcentral's name for it is "Erysipelatoclostridium ramosum DSM 1402 partial 16S ribosomal RNA". It matches the Rfam family "Bacterial small subunit ribosomal RNA", at positions 493 to 776 of the family's 1533-position model. Lineage: Bacteria; Bacillati; Bacillota; Erysipelotrichia; Erysipelotrichales; Coprobacillaceae. The record is from RNAcentral.